AUUGAACGCUGGCGGCAGGCCUAACACAUGCAAGUCGAGCGGAUGAAGGGAGCUUGCUCCUGGAUUCAGCGGCGGACGGGUGAGUAAUGCCUAGGAAUCUGCCUGGUAGUGGGGGAUAACGUCCGGAAACGGGCGCUAAUACCGCAUACGUCCUGAGGGAGAAAGUGGGGGAUCUUCGGACCUCACGCUAUCAGAUGAGCCUAGGUCGGAUUAGCUAGUUGGUGGGGUAAAGGCCUACCAAGGCGACGAUCCGUAACUGGUCUGAGAGGAUGAUCAGUCACACUGGAACUGAGACACGGUCCAGACUCCUACGGGAGGCAGCAGUGGGGAAGAUUGGACAAUGGGCGAAAGCCUGAUCCAGCCAUGCCGCGUGUGUGAAGAAGGUCUUCGGAUUGUAAAGCACUUUAAGUUGGGAGGAAGGGCAGUAAGUUAAUACCUUGCUGUUUUGACGUUACCAACAGAAUAAGCACCGGCUAACUUCGUGC
This 485-nucleotide ribosomal RNA is filed under the name uncultured bacterium. RNAcentral describes it as "partial 16S ribosomal RNA". It matches the Rfam family "Bacterial small subunit ribosomal RNA", at positions 30 to 508 of the family's 1533-position model. The record is from RNAcentral.